This 525-nucleotide ribosomal RNA is filed under the name uncultured bacterium. RNAcentral describes it as "bacterial SSU rRNA". It matches the Rfam family "Bacterial small subunit ribosomal RNA", at positions 984 to 1509 of the family's 1533-position model. The record is from RNAcentral.
ACAUCCAGCGAACUUGGCAGAGAUGCCUUGGUGCCUUCGGGAACGCUGAGACAGGUGCUGCAUGGCUGUCGUCAGCUCGUGUUGUGAAAUGUUGGGUUAAGUCCCGNAACGAGCGCAACCCUUAUCCUUUGUUGCCAGCGAUUCGGUCGGGAACUCAAAGGAGACUGCCGGUGAUAAACCGGAGGAAGGUGGGGAUGACGUCAAGUCAUCAUGGCCCUUACGAGUAGGGCUACACACGUGCUACAAUGGCGCAUACAAAGAGAAGCGACCUCGCGAGAGCAAGCGGACCUCAUAAAGUGCGUCGUAGUCCGGAUCGGAGUCUGCAACUCGACUCCGUGAAGUCGGAAUCGCUAGUAAUCGUGGAUCAGAAUGCCACGGUGAAUACGUUCCCGGGCCUUGUACACACCGCCCGUCACACCAUGGGAGUGGGUUGCAAAAGAAGUAGGUAGCUUAACCCUCGGGAGGGCGCUUACCACUUUGUGAUUCAUGACUGGGGUGAAGUCGUAACAAGGUAGGCGUAGAUGA